CCUACGGGCGGCAGCAGUGGGGAAUAUUGGACAAUGGGGGGAACCCUGAUCCAGCCAUGCCGCGUGUGUGAAGAAGGCCCUCGGGUUGUAAAGCACUUUCAGUGAGGAAGAACGCCUGGUGGUUAAUACCCAUCAGGAAAGACAUCACUCACAGAAGAAGCACCGGCUAACUCCGUGCCAGCAGCCGCGGUAAUACGGAGGGUGCGAGCGUUAAUCGGAAUUACUGGGCGUAAAGCGCGCGUAGGUGGCUUGAUAAGCCGGUUGUGAAAGCCCCGGGCUCAACCUGGGAACGGCAGCCGGAACUGUCAAGCUAGAGUGCAGGAGAGGAAGGUAGAAUUCCCGGUGUAGCGGUGAAAUGCGUAGAGAUCGGGAGGAAUACCAGUGGCGAAGGCGGCCUUCUGGACUGACACUGACACUGAGGUGCGAAAGCGUGGGUAGCAAACAGGAUUAGAUACCCGUGUAGUC
Molecule: ribosomal RNA, 465 nt
Filed under: Vreelandella stevensii
Lineage: Bacteria; Pseudomonadati; Pseudomonadota; Gammaproteobacteria; Oceanospirillales; Halomonadaceae
Description: partial 16S ribosomal RNA
Rfam family: Bacterial small subunit ribosomal RNA
Source: RNAcentral